AAGCAACAGCUUGUCAAGACAUUCAUAAGCCUGUCAGGAUGUAUUGUGGAGGAUGUCAUGCUAGAAAACAUCACGCCAGAGGACCACGACCUCCCUAAGAUCUGCAACCUUAGGAGAAUAGCUAACCAAGUCCGAGCAGAUAUGCACCCCGAGGAGCCAAAGGACCUCGGCUUUGGGACAUGCAAUAUCUUGAGGAUUUCCUGGUGGGGGAUGUGCACACUGAUGACCUGAGACAUUUGAUGUUUUCCUCACCAGCUUCUUCUUCUCUGCUAUGCCUUACCCUGGUAUUGUGACGGAACAUUCGAGGCCACCUCCCAGCCAUCUACCCAACUUUGGUCCAUCCAUGCCUCCAUCAGGAGAUGAGAAAGCAACAGACAGGUUCUGAAGAAGUUGAAAGAAACCUUAGGGGUAGAGCCAGAAG
This is a long non-coding RNA of Saccostrea cuccullata (small rock oyster), 421 nucleotides long. RefSeq lists it as uncharacterized. The record is from RefSeq and is a predicted model, not a curated record. Lineage: Eukaryota; Metazoa; Mollusca; Bivalvia; Ostreida; Ostreidae. The transcript is spliced from 3 exons.